CGUCUAUAUACGUAUAGCAUAUCAAUAAGCGGAGGAAAAGAAACUAACUAGGAUUCCCUCAGUAACGGCGAGUGAAGCGGGAAGAGCUCAAAUUUGAAAUCUUCAAGGUUUUACCUUGACGAAUUGUAGUUUAAAGAAGUGUUUUCUGUUGGAGUUUUGGUAAAAGUUCUUUGGAAUAGGACAUCAUAGAGGGUGAGAAUCCCGUAUUUGACCAUUAUUUCCAACUUUGUGAUACACUUUCAAAGAGUCGGAUUGUUUGGGAAUGCAGUCCAAAAUGGGUGGUAAAUUUCAUCUAAAGCUAAAUACUGGCGAGAGACCGAUAGCGAACAAGUACCGUGAGGGAAAGAUGAAAAGAACUUUGAAAAGAGAGUUAAACAGUACGUGAAAUUGUCAAAAGGGAAGCGUUUGACACCAGUGUUGUUUUCUCGAAAAUCAAUUAAAAAUGAUUGGAUUUUGUGUUGUAUUGACUUUAUCAGCUUUCUGCACUCUUUUCUUGUCUUUUUUAAUGCACUUUUCGUUUAACAAGUCAACAUCAAUUUCUUUUGUUGUAAAAGGGUCAUUGGAAGGUGGCUUUCUUUUCGGAGAAAGUGUUUAUAGCCUUUGACUUCUGCAGUCGGAGAGAUUGAGGUCUGCAGCGUAGAUCCUUCGGGGUUAGAUGCAUUUGUGCUAAGUUAUAGCUUUUAUAGACAACAUGUUGACUAUGAUUAGUCAUGUAGCUUACUCGCUUAUGUCAUUUUACCUACGCUUAGGAUGUUGACGAUCAGCUGAGCGCG
Molecule: ribosomal RNA, 773 nt
Filed under: uncultured Neocallimastigales
Lineage: Eukaryota; Fungi; Neocallimastigomycota; Neocallimastigomycetes; Neocallimastigales
Description: partial large subunit ribosomal RNA
Rfam family: Eukaryotic large subunit ribosomal RNA
Source: RNAcentral